This 447-nucleotide ribosomal RNA is filed under the name Triticum aestivum (bread wheat). RNAcentral's name for it is "partial small subunit ribosomal RNA". The record is from RNAcentral. Lineage: Eukaryota; Viridiplantae; Streptophyta; Magnoliopsida; Poales; Poaceae.
AUGGCCCGACUCCUGGAGAUGGGGGACCUCGUCGUCGUCUGCCCCGAGGGCACCACCUGCCGCGAGCCGUACCUGCUCCGGUUCAGUCCACUUUUCGCGGAGCUCAGCGACGACGUGGUAGGUGUCGCCGUCGAGACGGCCAUGUUCUACCCCACCACGGCGGGGGGGCUCAAGUGCCUCGAUCCGUUCUUCUACAUGGUCAACCCGAGGAUGUGCUACACGGUGCAGUUCCUGGAGCAGGUGCGCACGGCGGUGGUCAGGGAGGGGAAGGUGCCGAGCGCCGACAUGGCCAAUCUCGUGCAGAAGAAGAUUGGAGAUGCGCUCGGAUACAGCUGCACUAUGCUCACCAGGAAGGACAAGUACCUCAUGCUGGCCGGCAACGACGGCGUCGUCCGCAAAGUAGACGGCAAGUGCUCGUCUCCUCCAGCGGGGAGGACGAACAACUGA